AACGAACGCUGGCGGCAUGCCUAACACAUGCAAGUCGAACGAGACCUUCGGGUCUAGUGGCGCACGGGUGCGUAACGCGCGGGAACCUGCCCUUAGGUUCGGAAUAACUCCCCGAAAGGGGUGCUAAUACCGGAUAAUGUCUUCGGACCAAAGAUUUAUCGCCUUUGGAUGGGCCCGCGUUGGAUUAGCUAGUUGGUAGGGUAAAAGCCUACCAAGGCGACGAUCCAUAGCUGGUCUGAGAGGAUGAUCAGCCACACUGGGACUGAGACGCGGCCCAGACUCCUACGGGAGGCAGCAGUGGGGAAUAUUGGACAAUGGGCGAAAGCCUGAUCCAGCAAUGCCGCGUGAGUGAUGAAGGCCUUAGGGUUGUAAAGCUCUUUUACCCGGGAUGAUAAUGACAGUACCGGGAGAAUAAGCUCCGGCUAACUCCGUG
This 433-nucleotide ribosomal RNA is filed under the name uncultured bacterium. Its description in RNAcentral is "partial 16S ribosomal RNA". It matches the Rfam family "Bacterial small subunit ribosomal RNA", at positions 29 to 507 of the family's 1533-position model. The record is from RNAcentral.